RNA transcript from Papaver somniferum (opium poppy), 1198 nucleotides. It is a transcript of the gene named protein LURP-one-related 10-like, with no coding region annotated. The transcript is spliced from 5 exons. Lineage: Eukaryota; Viridiplantae; Streptophyta; Magnoliopsida; Ranunculales; Papaveraceae. The record is from RefSeq and is a predicted model, not a curated record.
AAAGUAGAUUCAUUUUAAAUUAUUAUUCUCGAUCCAAUUUUAUCAAAUAUUCUAGACAAAAUAAUUUUGAACAGCUAGGGAAAAUCAUUUUGUCUAGAAAAAUGUAUCAGCAACCUCCGGGAGAGAUGGUGCCGUAUCAACAACCACCAGGAGGCAUGGCGCCGUAUUAUCCAAGGCAGCCGCCACCAACACCAACAGGGAUGCUGCCUAGCAAUCGGAUAGUUGUAAUUGCACCACAUUUCUGCGUACCAUAUCCAGUAGAUCUUACCAUUGCAAAGAAAAGACUAACUAUAUCGGAAGGUAACUUUGGUGUUUACGAUAUCAAUGGCAAUAACAUCUUUAAAGUUCAAGGUACGCUUCUUAGCAUUCGCGACCGGCCUAUUCUUGUUGAUGCUGCCGGUGUUCCUCUUGUAACUCUACAGCAGAAGAUUUUGACUUGCCAUAGGAGAUGGCAAGUAUAUAGAGGAGACAGCUCAGAUUCAAAAGAUUUGUUGUUCAGUGUCAAGAAAUCUAAGCUUUUGCAGCUCAAGACGAGUUUGCAUGUUUUCUUAGCAUCGAACACCGCUGAAGAAGUCUGUGAUUUUAAGAUCAAAGGAAGCUAUUAUGCACAUUCUUGUGUCAUCUAUCAUGGGAAUUCGAAUAACAUUGUUGCUCGGAUGCACAUGGAACACACGGUUCAAAGUAUGUUUCUCGGGAAGGAUACCUACUCUAUUACCAUCUACCCGAACGUCGAUUAUGCAUUCGUUGUCGCCCUGUGUGCGGUUCUUAAUGAAAUCAAUAUGGACAGAAGUGGUGAAGAUUAAGCUCUUGGAAAUCAACUUCAUACUGUGUAAAUUUAUUCAAGAACCCCAAGAUCAAAGAUGUCGUAGAACAGAUCUAAAGGACUAGCUAGAGAGCUUGGAAAUUGCAUAAAUAUGAUGCUGUCUAUAUAAUCUAAAGAUGCAAAAGAGUACGAAUUGAAGUGUUACUUGAAAGCCUGUGCAGAAAUUAGACGGGCAGUCCCGGUGCUGUGUGCUUAGUGUGUGAGCUUAUUUUUCAUUUGCUUUAGCAAUUGCUGAUACUAGAAAGUUGCACAUAACAUCAUUUUUAUGAGUAUUUAUGGAGUAGAUAUUGGAUAGUAUGCAGCAGAUACGCUAUGUGAGUAGUAAUUGCCUUAAAUAAUGUUUUAAGGAUUUUAUGGGAGUUUACUGAAUGAUUU